RNAcentral lists this transfer RNA (76 nucleotides) under Diaphorina citri (Asian citrus psyllid). It matches the Rfam family "tRNA". Rfam says of the family: Transfer RNA (tRNA) molecules are approximately 80 nucleotides in length. Their secondary structure includes four short double-helical elements and three loops (D, anti-codon, and T loops). Further hydrogen bonds mediate the characteristic L-shaped molecular structure. tRNAs have two regions of fundamental functional importance: the anti-codon, which is responsible for specific mRNA codon recognition, and the 3' end, to which the tRNAs corresponding amino acid is attached (by aminoacyl-tRNA synthetases). tRNAs cope with the degeneracy of the genetic code in two manners: having more than one tRNA (with a specific anti-codon) for a particular amino acid; and 'wobble' base-pairing, i.e. permitting non-standard base-pairing at the 3rd anti-codon position. The record is from Rfam by way of RNAcentral. Lineage: Eukaryota; Metazoa; Arthropoda; Insecta; Hemiptera; Psyllidae.
GCCUCGGUGGUGUAGUGGUCAAGGCGCUUGCCUGGUAAAGGCGCAGGAGGGCGUGGGUUCAAUCCCAGCCGAGGUA